RNAcentral lists this ribosomal RNA (492 nucleotides) under uncultured bacterium. RNAcentral describes it as "partial 16S ribosomal RNA". It matches the Rfam family "Bacterial small subunit ribosomal RNA", at positions 29 to 507 of the family's 1533-position model. The record is from RNAcentral.
AGUGAACGCUGGCGGUAGGCCUAACACAUGCAAGUCGAACGGCAGCACAGUAAGAGCUUGCUCUUACGGGUGGCGAGUGGCGGACGGGUGAGGAAUACAUCGGAAUCUACUUUUUCGUGGGGGAUAACGUAGGGAAACUUACGCUAAUACCGCAUACGACCUACGGGUGAGAGCAGGGGAUCUUCGGACCUUGCGCGAUUGAAUGAGCCGAUGUCGGAUUAGCUAGUUGGCGGGGUAAAGGCCCACCAAGGCGACGAUCCGUAGCUGGUCUGAGAGGAUGAUCAGUCACACUGGAACUGAGACACGGUCCCGACUCCUACGGGAGGCAGCAGUGGGGAAUAUUGGACAAUGGGCGCAAGCCUGAUCCAGCCAUACCGCGUGGGUGAAGAAGGCCUUCGGGUUGUAAAGCCCUUUUGUUGGGAAAGAAAAGCAGCAGGUUAAUACCCCGCUGUUCUGACGGUACCCAAAGAAUAAGCACCGGCUAACUUCGUG